This 377-nucleotide ribosomal RNA is filed under the name uncultured bacterium. RNAcentral describes it as "bacterial SSU rRNA". It matches the Rfam family "Bacterial small subunit ribosomal RNA", at positions 28 to 412 of the family's 1533-position model. The record is from RNAcentral.
GACGAACGCUGGCGGCGUGCUUAACACAUGCAAGUCGAACGAUGAAGCCUUCGGGUGGAUUAGCGGCGAACGGGUGAGUAACACGUGGGCAAUCUGCCCUGUACUUUGGGAUAAGCCUUGGAAACGGGGUCUAAUACCGGAUAUCACUUCUGACCGCAUGGUUGGUUGUUGAAAGUUCUGGCGGUACAGGAUGAGCCCGCGGCCUAUCAGCUUGUUGGUGGGGUAAUGGCCUACCAAGGCGACGACGGGUAGCCGGCCUGAGAGGAUGACCGGCCACACUGGGACUGAGACACGGCCCAGACUCCUACGGGAGGCAGCAGUGGGGAAUAUUGCACAAUGGGCGAAAGCCUGAUGCAGCGACGCCGCGUGGGGAUGAC